GAUUUCUGGCUUGUCACACUUGGCCGGCCACGGUUUCGUGUGUUAGUGCUUUGUGUUCUGGCCAUCCUUCCAAUUGCUAUUCAUCUUUCUUCAUUGAUUGGUGAGUGGUGUUGGAUCUUUUACUUUGAACAAAUUAGAGUGUUUCAAGCAGGCUUUAUGCUAUGAAUACAUUAGCAUGGAAUAAUAAUUUAGGACUUCGGUUCUAUUUUGUUGGUUUCUAGGACUGAAGUAAUGAUUGAUAGGGAUAGUUGGGGGUGCUAGUAUUCAGCGGCCAGAGGUGAAAUUCUCGGAUUCGCUGAAGACUAACUUAUGCGAAAGCAUU
RNAcentral lists this ribosomal RNA (322 nucleotides) under uncultured Sandonidae. Its description in RNAcentral is "SSU rRNA". The stretch from base 112 to 322 matches the Rfam family "Eukaryotic small subunit ribosomal RNA", at positions 744 to 955 of the family's 1831-position model. The record is from RNAcentral. Lineage: Eukaryota; Cercozoa; Glissomonadida; Viridiraptoridae.